ACUCCUGCGGGAGGCAGCAGUGGGGAAUAUUGCACAAUGGGCGCAAGCCUGAUGCAGCCAUGCCGCGUGUAUGAAGAAGGCCUUCGGGUUGUAAAGUACUUUCAGCGGGGAGGAAGGCGAUAAGGUUAAUAACCUUGUUGAUUGACGUUACCCGCAGAAGAAGCACCGGCUAACUCCGUGCCAGCAGCCGCGGUAAUACGGAGGGUGCAAGCGUUAAUCGGAAUUACUGGGCGUAAAGCGCACGCAGGCGGUCUGUCAAGUCGGAUGUGAAAUCCCCGGGCUCAACCUGGGAACUGCAUUCGAAACUGGCAGGCUAGAGUCUUGUAGAGGGGGGUAGAAUUCCAGGUGUAGCGGUGAAAUGCGUAGAGAUCUGGAGGAAUACCGGUGGCGAAGGCGGCCCCCUGGACAAAGACUGACGCUCAGGUGCGAAAGCGUGGGGAGCAAACAGGAUUAGAUACCCGAGUAGUCCCAUGA
RNAcentral lists this ribosomal RNA (474 nucleotides) under uncultured organism. RNAcentral describes it as "partial 16S ribosomal RNA". It matches the Rfam family "Bacterial small subunit ribosomal RNA", at positions 335 to 800 of the family's 1533-position model. The record is from RNAcentral.